Molecule: unclassified non-coding RNA, 554 nt
Filed under: Botrytis cinerea
Lineage: Eukaryota; Fungi; Ascomycota; Leotiomycetes; Helotiales; Sclerotiniaceae
Description: sequence contains 18S rRNA gene, ITS1, 5.8S rRNA gene, ITS2, 28S rRNA gene
Rfam family: 5.8S ribosomal RNA (bases 193-346)
Source: RNAcentral
AGUCGUAACAAGGUUUCCGUAGGUGAACCUGCGGAAGGAUCAUUACAGAGUUCAUGCCCGAAAGGGUAGACCUCCCACCCUUGUGUAUUAUUACUUUGUUGCUUUGGCGAGCUGCCUUCGGGCCUUGUAUGCUCGCCAGAGAAUACCAAAACUCUUUUUAUUAAUGUCGUCUGAGUACUAUAUAAUAGUUAAAACUUUCAACAACGGAUCUCUUGGUUCUGGCAUCGAUGAAGAACGCAGCGAAAUGCGAUAAGUAAUGUGAAUUGCAGAAUUCAGUGAAUCAUCGAAUCUUUGAACGCACAUUGCGCCCCUUGGUAUUCCGGGGGGCAUGCCUGUUCGAGCGUCAUUUCAACCCUCAAGCUUAGCUUGGUAUUGAGUCUAUGUCAGUAAUGGCAGGCUCUAAAAUCAGUGGCGGCGCCGCUGGGUCCUGAACGUAGUAAUAUCUCUCGUUACAGGUUCUCGGUGUGCUUCUGCCAAAACCCAAAUUUUUCUAUGGUUGACCUCGGAUCAGGUAGGGAUACCCGCUGAACUUAAGCAUAUCAAUAAGCGGAGGA